RNAcentral lists this ribosomal RNA (468 nucleotides) under uncultured bacterium. Its description in RNAcentral is "partial 16S ribosomal RNA". It matches the Rfam family "Bacterial small subunit ribosomal RNA", at positions 28 to 507 of the family's 1533-position model. The record is from RNAcentral.
GACGAACGCUGGCGGCGUGCUUAACACAUGCAAGUCGAACGGAAAGGCCCGGCUUUUGUGGGGUGCUCGAGGGGCGAACGGGUGAGUAACACGUGAGUAACCUGCCCUUGACUUUGGGAUAACUUCAGGAAACUGGGGCUAAUACCGGAUAGGAGCUCCUGCUGCAUGGUGGGGGUUGGAAAGUUUCGGCGGUUGGGGAUGGACUCGCGCCUUAUCAGCUUGUUGGUGGGGUAGUGUAUGACCAAGGCUUUGAAGGGUAGCCGGCCUGAGAGGGUGACCGGCCACAUUGGGCCUGAGCUGCGGCCCAGACUCCUACGGGAGGCAGCAGUGGAGAAUAUAGCACAAUGGGCGGAAGCCUGACGCAGCAACGCCGCGUGCGGGAUGACGGCAAUCGGGUUGUAUACCGCUUUCGCCUGUGCCGAAGCGUGAGUGACGGUAAUGGGUAAAGAAGCACCGGCUAACUACGUG